This 229-nucleotide unclassified non-coding RNA is filed under the name plant metagenome. RNAcentral describes it as "partial contains small subunit ribosomal RNA, internal transcribed spacer 1, and 5.8S ribosomal RNA". The record is from RNAcentral.
UCUCCGUAGGUGAACCUGCGGAGGGAUCAUUACAGAGUUCAUGCCCUACCGGGUAGAUCUCCCACCCUAUGUUAUUAUUACUUUGUUGCUUUGGCGGGCCGUUAGGCUCCGGCCCGACUACCGGCCCCGGCUGGUAAGCGCCCGCCAGAGGACCCAAAACCCUGAAUAUUAGUGUCGUCUGAGUACUAUAUAAUAGUUAAAACUUUCAACAACGGAUCUCUAGGUUCUG